RNAcentral lists this long non-coding RNA (208 nucleotides) under Capsicum annuum. Its description in RNAcentral is "long non-coding RNA (CANN_LNC021741)". The record is from RNAcentral. Lineage: Eukaryota; Viridiplantae; Streptophyta; Magnoliopsida; Solanales; Solanaceae.
UUCCUGACCCUGCUGUUGCAUUUCCAUCAGGAGCCUUGAACUAUUCUAGUGUAGUUGAUCUAUCAGUCUCUAAAGGCCUACUGGUAUAGGCACCUAAUGCUCUCGUUCGGAUGGCAGUCUCCCAUUUCUCAUUGUCUGCUAAGGACUCAAUCUUUUCCUUCUUCAUCUCUUCCUUUUUAGAUUUCUUUCUUUCCCUCUUCUCUACUUU